Molecule: ribosomal RNA, 492 nt
Filed under: uncultured bacterium
Lineage: Bacteria
Description: partial 16S ribosomal RNA
Rfam family: Bacterial small subunit ribosomal RNA
Source: RNAcentral
AGUGAACGCUGGCGGUAGGCCUAACACAUGCAAGUCGAACGGCAGCUCAGUAAGAGCUUGCUCUUACGGGUGGCGAGUGGCGGACGGGUGAGGAAUACAUCGGAAUCUACUUUUUCGUGGGGGAUAACGUAGGGAAACUUACGCUAAUACCGCAUACGACCUACGGGUGAAAGCAGGGGAUCUUCGGACCUUGCGCGAUUGCAUGAGCCGAUGUCGGAUUAGCUAGUUGGCGGGGUAAAGGCCCACCAAGGCGACGAUCCGUAGCUGGUCUGAGAGGAUGAUCAGCCACACUGGAACUGAGACACGGUCCAGACUCCUACGGGAGGCAGCAGUGGGGAAUAUUGGACAAUGGGCGCAAGCCUGAUCCAGCCAUACCGCGUGGGUGAAGAAGGCCUUCGGGUUGUAAAGCCCUUUUGUUGGGAAAGAAAAGCAGCAGGUUAAUACCCCGCUGUUCUGACGGUACCCAAAGAAUAAGCACCGGCUAACUUCGUG